Long non-coding RNA from Vicia villosa (hairy vetch), 580 nucleotides. RefSeq lists it as uncharacterized. The record is from RefSeq and is a predicted model, not a curated record. Lineage: Eukaryota; Viridiplantae; Streptophyta; Magnoliopsida; Fabales; Fabaceae. The transcript has 5 exons.
GAAUAACUUAAUUUUAAAAUUCUGAAACAAAACUUACUUUGAUUAAUCUAAUUGUUUCCGAUGCUUCUCACUUAUCGCGCCUCUCAGUCUCACCUUCAUUUCUAAAACGCUUCUCAUUUCUGCACAUUCUUGUUCGAGAGCUUCUCACUACCAAGUUUCUUCUUCGAGCAUAAUCUUGACGCCAAUCAAACAGUGUGACCUUCAACUACUGAACGUGGAUACCGUCGUAGUUCAAAAGGAGUUUACUAGGAGCAACAAUCCAGUGACUUGUCCUUGUUGUGAGAAGUGGAGUUCCUAACAUUUGUGCUGUUGCAUUAGCUCUCAGUGAUUUAGGCAUGCUUACAAUCCGGACGAGGAGUAUACUGAGGUGGAAUCUGAACUGCGAGCGCAUUUAGAAUCUUUCCUAGAAACUGCUAGAUCAUUCAACGUGAUUUACACCAAGGAAAUUCGUCCAUGGACACAUAUGAUGGAGGUUCCACAACUUCACGGGUUUGGACCAGCUGCCGAUCGAUUAUUGGAGGCGUACAAAAGGCUUUUAAAGGUAACCUUUCUCUGCUUGGCAAAAAUAUUUUUCUUAAAA